Molecule: ribosomal RNA, 253 nt
Filed under: uncultured bacterium
Lineage: Bacteria
Description: partial 16S ribosomal RNA
Rfam family: Bacterial small subunit ribosomal RNA
Source: RNAcentral
UACGAAGGGGGCUAGCGUUGCUCGGAUUGACUGGGCGUAAAGGGCGCGUAGGCGGUUUGCAUAGUCAGACGUGAAAUUCCUGGGCUUAACCUGGGGGCUGCGUUUGAUACAUGCAGGCUUGAGUUCGGAAGAGGGUCGUGGAAUUCCCAGUGUAGAGGUGAAAUUCGUAGAUAUUGGGAAGAACACCGGUGGCGAAGGCGGCGACCUGGUCCGAUACUGACGCUGAGGCGCGAAAGCGUGGGGAGCGAACAGG